CCUACGGGAGGCAGCAGUGAGGAAUAUUGGUCAAUGGACGAGAGUCUGAACCAGCCAAGUAGCGUGAAGGAUGACUGCCCUAUGGGUUGUAAACUUCUUUUAUAUGGGAAUAAAAUGUUCCAUGUGUGGGAUUUUGUAUGUACCAUAUGAAUAAGGAUCGGCUAACUCCGUGCCAGCAGCCGCGGUAAUACGGAGGAUCCGAGCGUUAUCCGGAUUUAUUGGGUUUAAAGGGAGCGUAGGUGGAUUGUUAAGUCAGUUGUGAAAGUUUGCGGCUCAACCGUAAAAUUGCAGUUGAAACUGGCAGUCUUGAGUACAGUAGAGGUGGGCGGAAUUCGUGGUGUAGCGGUGAAAUGCUUAGAUAUCACGAAGAACUCCGAUUGCGAAGGCAGUUCACUGGACUGCAACUGACACUGAGGCUCGAAAGUGUGGGUAUCAAACAGGAUUAGAUACCCGAGUAGUC
RNAcentral lists this ribosomal RNA (460 nucleotides) under uncultured bacterium. RNAcentral's name for it is "partial 16S ribosomal RNA". It matches the Rfam family "Bacterial small subunit ribosomal RNA", at positions 338 to 795 of the family's 1533-position model. The record is from RNAcentral.